GAUGAAGAACGUAGCGAAAUGCGAUACUUGGUGUGAAUUGCAGAAUCCCGUGAACCAUCGAGUCUUUGAACGCAAGUUGCGCCCGAAGCCAUCAGGUUGAGGGCACGUCUGCCUGGGCGUCACAUAUCGUUGCUCGAUGCCUAUCGCAUUGCGAUAGGACUUAGGGCGAAUGAUGGCUUCCCGUGAGCGUUGUUGCCUCGCGGUUGGUUGAAAAUCGAGUGCAUGGUGUCGGGUGUACCAUGAUGGAUGGUGGUUGAGUGAUGAUGCUCGAGACCAAUCAUGGGUAACUCCACCAGAAUUGGGUUCGGUGACCCACAUGCGUCCCUUGGAUGCUCCCUAAGGAGACCUCAGGUCAGGCGGGGCUACCCGCUGAGUUUAAGCAUAUCAAUAAGCGGAGGA
This 399-nucleotide unclassified non-coding RNA is filed under the name soil metagenome. RNAcentral's name for it is "partial contains 5.8S ribosomal RNA, internal transcribed spacer 2, and large subunit ribosomal RNA". The stretch from base 1 to 122 matches the Rfam family "5.8S ribosomal RNA", at positions 35 to 154 of the family's 154-position model. The record is from RNAcentral.